This 498-nucleotide ribosomal RNA is filed under the name uncultured bacterium. RNAcentral describes it as "bacterial SSU rRNA". It matches the Rfam family "Bacterial small subunit ribosomal RNA", at positions 28 to 514 of the family's 1533-position model. The record is from RNAcentral.
GAUGAACGCUAGCGGCAGGCCUAAUACAUGCAAGUCGAACGGUAACAUUGGUGCUUGCACCAGAUGACGAGUGGCGCACGGGUGCGUAACGCGUAUGCAACCUACCUUUUACUAGAGUAUAGCCCAGAGAAAUUUGGAUUAAUCCUCUAUAACAUCUUUUAAUUUCAUGAUUUUAAGAUUAAAGUUUUAACGGUAAAAGAUGGGCAUGCGUCCUAUUAGUUUGUAGGUGAGGUAACGGCUCACCUAGACUACGAUAGGUAGGGGCCCUGAGAGGGGGAUCCCCCACACUGGUACUGAGACACGGACCAGACUCCUACGGGAGGCAGCAGUAAGGAAUAUUGGACAAUGGACGAAAGUCUGAUCCAGCCAUGCCGCGUGCUAGGAUGACGAGCCCUACGGGUUGUAAACUGCUUUUAUACGAGGAAGAAACACUCCGACGUGUCGGAGCUUGACGGUACUGCGAAGGAAUAAGGAAUCGGCUAACUCCGUGCCCAGCGG